RNAcentral lists this ribosomal RNA (423 nucleotides) under uncultured bacterium. RNAcentral describes it as "bacterial SSU rRNA". It matches the Rfam family "Bacterial small subunit ribosomal RNA", at positions 207 to 622 of the family's 1533-position model. The record is from RNAcentral.
AAGACCUUGCACUUUUGGAGCGGCCGAUGUCUGAUUAGCUAGUUGGUGGGGUAAUGGCCUACCAAAGCUUCGAUCAGUAGCUGGUCUGAGAGGACGGCCAGCCACACUGGGACUGAGACACGGCCCAGACUCCUACGGGAGGCAGCAGUGGGGAAUUUUGGACAAUGGGGGCAACCCUGAUCCAGCCAUGCCGCGUGAGUGAAGAAGGCCUUCGGGUUGUAAAGCUCUUUCAGUCGGGAAGAAAAGGUUGUGACUAAUAAUUGCAAUUCAUGACGGUACCGAAAGAAGAAGCACCGGCUAACUACGUGCCAGCAGCCGCGGUAAUACGUAGGGUGCGAGCGUUAAUCGGAAUUACUGGGCGUAAAGGGUGCGCAGGCGGUUUUGUAAGUCAGAUGUGAAAUCCCCGGGCUUAACCUGGGAACU